GGGGCGGUACAAGGAGGAAGGUGCAGGGGAAAAUUGCGUUUGAGCCCUUGCUCUAUGAGGCACAGCUUCAGGAGUGUGGGUGAGUCCUUUCCCUGUAAAAAAAAGUUGCGGACAAGGUGGUAGUUCCCGCCAGCGUGUAGCCGCUAACGGGCCCCUCAUGUCUGUUGAAUGAGUGGGUGACCGCAGAGGCCGAGCUCAGACACGGUGCGACAUCGCCAUCUGUCGGCCAGGAGGAGACCUGAAGCCUCCUGCCCUCGAGCCAAGGACAGAACUCGUGGCCCCUCUGGGGGAGGGGGGAGAAGGCUGGAUAGCACGUUGCAGGGUUUUGUUUUGCUUCCUCAUUUUGCUCCAAGUCGAAGACCAGGCAUUCUGGUUUGCUCUACUCUCAGAAAAAGGCCCUUCUUGCCCAGCCUUUCUCCCCCAACGCCAAGCACCCAAUCUGCACGCCGCGCCCCCCACCCCCUACCCUCACUCUCAGUGAUUGCACCUGGCCCUUCUGUCCCACACUCUGCCCCAUGUGGCUUCCAUUCCUCCCUCAGAACCGUCUGUGCCCUGGCGGGUGCUGGGAGCCGACAGUAAAGCCGACAAAGACAUGGUUCCCAUCUCCACCGUUCACCGUCCAGCCAGCGGACGUAGGGCAGAGACGCGGAAGCUCCCACUCCAUCCAUACCAGAUGCAGUGGUGUUUGCUUUUUAAAGUGAAUCUGAAUCCAUCACCCGAUGUUAAGGUUGCGCUGCCAGCAAGAAAACGUGCGUGGCCGUGUCCUGAUGGUGGGACCUGGAGUUCGGAGAGACACUGGGUGAGGAACGGGGAUUUUGGAGCCACCAGCAGACAUGGGUGAUGACUAAGCAUAGCAACGCGUAAGAUCAUCAGGUCAGAGCUUCAGAAGUGCAGGAAAAGAAUCAUCUCUACCAUGGGUCAGUGCCUACAGGCCUGGCACGUUGUCACAAAUCCUACCCCCAGUUCCUCAAGCUCGAGCUCACUCAUAUUUACAGGUGGAGAUCUGAACCCAGAAAUGUAGAGGAAACUACCUACAGAGCAGAGCCAGGAAGUGAUAAAGCAGGACAAUGACCAGGGUGGACCCAGGUCUCCCCUCUCCAGGCCGGGUGCUUUGGGACCCCCACGAAACCUCCACCAGCAGGGGUUACUCUCUCGGAGCCUUUGA
Long non-coding RNA from Herpailurus yagouaroundi (jaguarundi), 1165 nucleotides. RefSeq lists it as uncharacterized. The record is from RefSeq and is a predicted model, not a curated record. NCBI's taxonomy places the organism in Eukaryota, Metazoa, Chordata, Mammalia, Carnivora, Felidae. The transcript has 3 exons.